Molecule: ribosomal RNA, 273 nt
Filed under: Pelomedusa subrufa
Lineage: Eukaryota; Metazoa; Chordata; Testudines; Pelomedusidae
Description: partial 12S ribosomal RNA
Source: RNAcentral
UAUAAGCGAUAAUCCACGAUCAACCUUACCACCCCUUGCCAUUCAGCCUAUAUACCGCCGUCUCCAGCUUACCUUGUGAAAGCCUAAAAGUAAGCAAAAUAGCUCUUACAGCUAGAAAGUCAGGUCCAGGUGUAGCCGAUGGGGUGGAUGCAAUGGGCUACAUUUUCUAAAAUAGAAAUAUUCACGGACAGACCAUUGAAAUAUGGACUGACAAGUCGGAUUUAGCAGUAAUCUAGGAGUAGAAAACCUACAUUAAGCCGGCCCUGGGACAAG